UGAGGAAUAUUGGUCAAUGGGCGCUAGCCUGAACCAGCCAUGCCGCGUGCAGGAAGACGGCCCUACGGGUCGUAAACUGCUUUUCUGUGGGAAGAACACUCUGCAUUCGGUGCAGGGCUGACGGUACUGCAGGAAUAAGCAUCGGCUAACUCCGUGCCAGCAGCCGCGGUAAUACGGAGGAUGCGAGCGUUAUCCGGAUUCAUUGGGUUUAAAGGGUGCGCAGGCGGUGGAGCAAGUCAGUGGUGAAAGCCCGGGGCUCAACUCCGGGAUUGCCAUUGAAACUGUUUCACUUGAGUGUAGUCGAGGACGGCGGAAUGAGUUAUGUAGCGGUGAAAUGCAUAGAUAUAACUCAGAACACCGAUUGCGAAGGCAGCUGUCUAGGCUAUAACUGACGCUGAGGCACGAAAGCGUGGGGAGCGAACA
RNAcentral lists this ribosomal RNA (423 nucleotides) under uncultured bacterium. RNAcentral describes it as "bacterial SSU rRNA". It matches the Rfam family "Bacterial small subunit ribosomal RNA", at positions 355 to 774 of the family's 1533-position model. The record is from RNAcentral.